ACAAACGCUGGCGGCGUGCCUAAUACAUGCAAGUCGAACGGUCUUUUCUAUGGAAGCUUGCUUCCACUGAGAAGAUAGUGGCGAACGGGUGAGUAACACGUGGGUAACCUGCCCAUAAGAGGGGGAUAACAGUCCGGAAACGGGUGCUAAUACCGCAUAGGUUUCUUGGUCGCAUGAUCGAGAAAGGAAAGACGGCCUUUGUGCUGUCGCUUAUGGAUGGACCCGNGGCGCAUUAGCUAGUUGGUGAGGUAACGGCUCACCAAGACGACGAUGCGUAGCCGACCUGAGAGGGUGAUCGGCACAUUGGAACUGAGACACGGUCCAGACU
This 328-nucleotide ribosomal RNA is filed under the name uncultured bacterium. RNAcentral's name for it is "bacterial SSU rRNA". It matches the Rfam family "Bacterial small subunit ribosomal RNA", at positions 29 to 337 of the family's 1533-position model. The record is from RNAcentral.